RNAcentral lists this ribosomal RNA (259 nucleotides) under uncultured bacterium. RNAcentral describes it as "partial 16S ribosomal RNA". It matches the Rfam family "Bacterial small subunit ribosomal RNA", at positions 526 to 779 of the family's 1533-position model. The record is from RNAcentral.
CGAAGGGGGCUAGCGUUGCUCGGAAUUACUGGGCGUAAAGGGCGCGUAGGCGGCUCUGUUAGUCAGGCGUGAAAUUCCUGGGCUCAACCUGGGGGACUGCGCUUGAUACGGGCGGGGCUUGAGGACGGAAGAGGGUCGCGGAAUUCCCAGUGUAGAGGUGAAAAUUCGUAGAUAUUGGGGAAGAACACCGGUGGCGAAGGCGGCGACCUGGUCCAUUACUGACGCUGAGGCGCGACAGCGUGGGGGAGCAAACAGGAUU